This 218-nucleotide ribosomal RNA is filed under the name Candidatus Bathyarchaeota archaeon. RNAcentral describes it as "partial 16S ribosomal RNA". It matches the Rfam family "Archaeal small subunit ribosomal RNA", at positions 1262 to 1478 of the family's 1478-position model. Lineage: Archaea; Thermoproteati; Candidatus Bathyarchaeota. The record is from RNAcentral.
UGCAACCCGCCCUCGUGAACAUGGAAUCCCUAGUAAUCGCGGGUCAUCAACCCGCGGUGAAUACGUCCCCGCCCCUUGCACACACCGCCCGUCGCUCCACCCGACUGAGGCCUAGACGAGGCGUGGUUUCUUGGCCGCGUCGAGUCUAGGCUUCGGGAGGGGGGAGAAGUCGUAACAAGGUGGCCGUAGGGGAACCUGCGGCCGGAUCACCUCCUAAG